AGGUAGUACUUAUAUAAGAAAACCUAUAUAGUUUGGCGGCACUUCAUCUUAUUAGAGGAAUUUGUCUUUUAAUCGAUAAUCCACGUUAAUUUUUACUUAAAAUUAAAGCUGAUAUACCGCCUUUUUAAGAAUAUAUUUAAAAAUAUUAUUCUAAAUAAUAUUCUAAAAAAUUAGGUCAAGGUGUGGCUAAUAUUUAAGUUAAGAUGAAUUAUAUUAAAAAUAAUUUAAGGAUUAAAUUAUAAAAAUAUUUUAUAAAAAAAGAUUUAAAAGUAACUUUCAAAUAAUAUUUAAAACUGAAUAAAGAAAUUUGUGUGC
RNAcentral lists this ribosomal RNA (315 nucleotides) under Deinopis spinosa. Its description in RNAcentral is "partial 12S ribosomal RNA". The record is from RNAcentral. Lineage: Eukaryota; Metazoa; Arthropoda; Arachnida; Araneae; Deinopidae.